AACUAAACCUUCCUUAUCUUUGUAGCCCAAAUACAGUUGCUGGUGGGGUGAAAAAUCAGCUGCUAGACAAGUGGGCACGUAGCACAUUGCACCGUGAUGGGAGCAUAUUAUAGUAGUUUAAUGAAUUACAUUGUUCUCUUUCUCCGCCUUCAUAAGCAUUUAUGCUUAUGUGCAUAAAUAUGCCAAUGUGUGCAGCAGUUUAUUUUUAUAUUGGACUCCCUCCUACACUAUAUUUCAUGACAGAAGAAAGAAUCAAGAUCAAAAUGAUGCAUCUGACUAGAAACUGAAAGCUGUUUGUGGGAAGAUAAGAAAGAAAGCUCAUGAAUAAUUCUGGAGCCCCCAGAAGGAGCGCUCUUUUUUGGAUAACCCAGUGAGACUGUUCUAAAGUUAGUCCUCCGUAAAGAGCCAAAACCCAAAACUUGAGUGCCUGUGAAUGCACUCUGAAGC
RNAcentral lists this long non-coding RNA (447 nucleotides) under Mus caroli (Ryukyu mouse). Its description in RNAcentral is "predicted gene 13860 (MGP_CAROLIEiJ_G0006317.1)". The record is from RNAcentral. Lineage: Eukaryota; Metazoa; Chordata; Mammalia; Rodentia; Muridae.